UUAGAAUGGAGACACUUCCUUGCUACAAGUUGCCCAAAUGACUCCAUCAUGACACGUAAAAUCGCUAGAUACAUGCACCGUUCAACCUUUUCCAUGGAGAUGUAGAAAGGUGCAUGUUGCAGGCCUUCCGACCCGACAACAGCACAAUCCCAACCAACUGACGACAGAGAACGGCCCGCAUCCUCUACGAGGUAUUGUCCGCUCUG
RNAcentral lists this long non-coding RNA (206 nucleotides) under Phoenix dactylifera (date palm). Its description in RNAcentral is "long non-coding RNA (PDAC_LNC014522)". Lineage: Eukaryota; Viridiplantae; Streptophyta; Magnoliopsida; Arecales; Arecaceae. The record is from RNAcentral.